Molecule: unclassified non-coding RNA, 266 nt
Filed under: Hevea brasiliensis (rubber tree)
Lineage: Eukaryota; Viridiplantae; Streptophyta; Magnoliopsida; Malpighiales; Euphorbiaceae
Source: RNAcentral
CUUGUUGGCAAACCAGAAAAUUCGUUCUACUCGAUCUUACAUUUUUUUUUUUCUCAUUUCCUCUUUCUGGGAAAAUCAUAAGGAAAAUCCUAGAAAAUUCUAUUGGCCUGCAUCGACCAUCGUCUCUCUAAUACGUUGGUUUAUGCAGGCUGUCUGCUAAUUUUAUUUCCAUUUCUUCAUAAUUCGCAUUUCCUUUUUGCAUUUUGCAAAUUCUCCCAUUUACUGUUCAAAUCCGGGGAAGAUUUUGAAUUAUAUAUACUGAUAGA